CACAGAAUCAUCAAAAUGGUCCGUACUUUCUCUUUGGGGACCCCAUCUCUCUAUAUAAUUUUCCUGGGUGUGCCCAGGGAAAAUGCGUCCUGGCAGCCCAGCUGAUUGGCUGGCCAGCGGAGGCGCCUGAUUGGCUAAGGCGCACCCAGGAGAAUUGGCUGGCCGGGUGGCCGCUGAGGCAAGGGUCGUGCGCAGCGGCAGUAGUGGACCAGGCUGCGGCAGCAGGCCGAGCCGCGGCAGCGGCGGGAGAAUUGGCUGGCUGGGCAGCCACGGGCCCAGCAUGGCGGAAGUAGUGGGCCAGGUGGCGGGUCCGGCCCAGCCACUGAGGCCAGGAGGCGGCGGCGGGCCUGGAUGCCAGGCGGCAGCGGGCCUGGCCGCAGCGGCAGCACUCAGCCGGAGACUGGGGUGCGGGGAGAGAGGCGGCGGAUCCGGCCCAGCGCGGAGGCAAGAAGCUGCAGGCUUGUGUUUUGCUGCAGAAAAGGGAAACAAUAACAAGUCCAACUUUUCAUGGUCCACGUCAAACAUGACCUCAUGCAAAUCAAUCACGAAAGUCUCCAAAGUAAUUGUGUGGACAAGACAGGAAGACCCAGAAGAUGGGCAGCCAUUAUUGGAACAGUUCUAGCAAUAUGGAGACAAAUUUAUAUAAAUAUAUAUUGUAACUUGGAUUAUGUACACCGCCUAGAGAGAUAUAUCAGGCCGUUAUGGAAUAUUAUAAAUAAAUUAUAAAUAAAUAACUAUUAGAAAAUGGA
This is a long non-coding RNA of Hemicordylus capensis (graceful crag lizard), 749 nucleotides long. RefSeq lists it as uncharacterized. Lineage: Eukaryota; Metazoa; Chordata; Lepidosauria; Squamata; Cordylidae. The record is from RefSeq and is a predicted model, not a curated record. The transcript has 2 exons.